CUGCUGAUGAGUCUACUGUUGUCGGAUUCCUUAGGCGCGAUACUACAGGUGGAAGUCAUCUGCUACAGAAGCUCGGAUGGAGACUUUCCAUUGGUGAAGUUCAAUAGGAGUCCGAUUGCUAGAGAAGUCCGUCUGGGAUUCGCCUGAUGUAGAAGCUCGUCUAAAGAUGAUCUGUCGGAGAACUUUGGCUUAAUGAAGGAUCUGGCGG
RNAcentral lists this long non-coding RNA (208 nucleotides) under Elaeis guineensis (African oil palm). Its description in RNAcentral is "long non-coding RNA (EGUI_LNC067024)". The record is from RNAcentral. Lineage: Eukaryota; Viridiplantae; Streptophyta; Magnoliopsida; Arecales; Arecaceae.